UGCCCAGCAACUCCUAUCCCUACCUCCUCGUCGUACUGGCCGGGGUACGAGUAACCUUGGGGAAGAUCGGGUAGCCAAACCCCGGUGGGAACUCUGGUCGUAUGCUGGGAAGG
Molecule: ribozyme, 113 nt
Filed under: Aedes aegypti (yellow fever mosquito)
Lineage: Eukaryota; Metazoa; Arthropoda; Insecta; Diptera; Culicidae
Description: drz-agam-1 ribozyme
Rfam family: drz-agam-1 ribozyme (bases 1-66)
Source: Rfam by way of RNAcentral